ACAUAGAAUUGUUAUGAAAAACCUCGACUAUGGUUAGCUAAUGAGAAAUCAGUUAAAGCUUAAUAUAUUUCAAGCAGAUUUUGUUCGCAGCUUCGCUUGCUUUAGUACUUAGGGGAGACCGGGGCUGGAUGUUACAGGGGUAGGUUGUUACAGUGGCAAUUGCCGCGAAACAGAAAGCGCAAUAGUGACGUUAGAAAGAGACAAAUACUCUUGCCGCCGUCGGCUAGCGUGCCGCGAGAGCCAAAAACGCCAGCAUUUUUGUGAGAAGAGCUCGAGCAUACCUUCAUUAAAAUUGCAGGAUGAGGACGUAUGUACGAAACACUGAGCGGGGAGAAAUAUCUACAGACAUUUCCAAACAAGCGGCAGCUAAAAGACUUUGGAUUAUUUUUAUUCGUAUGCGUUAAAACUGCUGAUUUGUAAGGUUUGCAUAUGAAUUAAAAUCUCGUAAAUCAGCAUUUUUAACAGAUACGCCAGAGAAAAAUGCUUUGGCACUGGAAUAGAGUAAAAAAAGGAAAAAAAAUCCAAGAAAGGAAAGUCAGCCAAAGGGUGGAAAUCUACAGGAAAGAAGAUGGGACAGGAAAAUCAUUGUUUCAUUUUAGAUUAUUAUGUUUUCUUUGUAAUAUAUACUGCUUUCUAGAUGUAUGUUAUGUUAUUUCAAUUAAGAAAAGUAACUAACUAUGAUGAUUGUUCCUAAUAAAAAGUCAUAAUACGUUUGUUUUUUAUUGUAACAACUUGCCCCAUGUAGUGUAACAACCAGCCCCAAGCACGGGGUUGAAUGUUACACGGUUUUUUUUUUCACAAAUCACACAUUUAUGUCAAUACUAUUAGUCUACAAUAUAACUUUUAUUUUAAAUAAUGAUCCUGGAUAGUUAUUUUAUCAAACAAGCCUAUACUCGGGUAAAACAAUCAAACCAAUUAAAAAAUAUGACAGUUUGUAAAAAAAAUUUAUUUAUUUAUUUAUUUACUUAAUCAAUACCCGGGAAGACAUUACAGUUGCCCAAUUCGUCUUCCCAGGCUAUACAUACAUUAGAAUACAUACAUUAGAAUAUACAUACAUUAGAAUAAUACAAACUAUAACAAAAAUAACAUAAAAAAGAAAAAAAAAAAAAAAAAGAAAGAAAGAAAGAAA
Molecule: long non-coding RNA, 1129 nt
Organism: Bicyclus anynana (squinting bush brown)
Lineage: Eukaryota; Metazoa; Arthropoda; Insecta; Lepidoptera; Nymphalidae
Exons: 2
Source: RefSeq, a predicted model, not a curated record